This 464-nucleotide ribosomal RNA is filed under the name Vreelandella stevensii. RNAcentral's name for it is "partial 16S ribosomal RNA". It matches the Rfam family "Bacterial small subunit ribosomal RNA", at positions 338 to 795 of the family's 1533-position model. Lineage: Bacteria; Pseudomonadati; Pseudomonadota; Gammaproteobacteria; Oceanospirillales; Halomonadaceae. The record is from RNAcentral.
CCUACGGUGGCAGCAGUGGGGAAUAUUGGACAAUGGGCGAAAGCCUGAUCCAGCCAUGCCGCGUGUGUGAAGAAGGCCUUCGGGUUGUAAAGCACUUUCAGUGGGGAAGAAAGCCUUGGGGCUAAUACCCUCGAGGAAGGACAUCACCCACAGAAGAAGCACCGGCUAACUCCGUGCCAGCAGCCGCGGUAAUACGGAGGGUGCGAGCGUUAAUCGGAAUUACUGGGCGUAAAGCGCGCGUAGGCGGUCUGAUAAGCCGGUUGUGAAAGCCCCGGGCUCAACCUGGGAACGGCAUCCGGAACUGUCAGGCUAGAGUGCAGGAGAGGGAGGUAGAAUUCCCGGUGUAGCGGUGAAAUGCGUAGAGAUCGGGAGGAAUACCAGUGGCGAAGGCGGCCUUCUGGACUGACACUGACGCUGAGGUGCGAAAGCGUGGGUAGCAAACAGGAUUAGAUACCCGAGUAGUC